RNAcentral lists this long non-coding RNA (5758 nucleotides) under Sus scrofa (pig). Its description in RNAcentral is "lncRNA (ENSSSCG00050072465.1)". Lineage: Eukaryota; Metazoa; Chordata; Mammalia; Artiodactyla; Suidae. The record is from RNAcentral.
GGAAGACUAAAGAGAGGUUAUUGGGUUGAGCUGCCUGCUGCCUCUUGCUGCUUUUGGAUUAUGGAUCCUGGGGCUCGGAUAAAAGGGAAAACACCCUCGCUGCACACUGGUUCCUCCAUCAGCCUCCAAAGGAGCCUGUGAUAACCGCAUUAAGGCACUAUGACUUGGCUCUUACGUGGGACCCUGAAGCAACCACAGCACAGCAAUUCUUUGAGCUGAAGAAAUGAAUACAUAAAAUAAAAAGGCACUUUCCAAAGGGACCAAUCUUACAAUCUGAAAGAAAAGCUUCUCUGAUAAACGGGCACAAUAUUGGCUGUUGAGGGAAAGUAUCUGUUUGGGGAAACUGCCAAAAGGAUUAGGCAUUCAGUUUCCGCCAGUUAAUCAUUUACAGUUAUGAGUCCAGGCAGAUCACUAAGAUCCACCACAAAGAGAUAAGAAAGUUGGAGAGCAACAGAGGAACCAUUUACAAGUGCAAAGUCUAGAGAUGAGUCCACGUGGCCAAUGCAAUGGCUCUCAUGGUUCCGCUGUCCCCACUGGGGGCCAUGGCUUGAAGGCAGGAUCAUUUUCCUUCAAGACAUUGCCUCUCUGGAUUGCCUGUUAGCCUAGCAAAAAUCUUGGAAGGAAAUUAGCUCAAAGAAGGACUUCCUGUAUCUAUCUGGAAGAGAUACCUCUAAGCUUUCUUUCAAAUAGUAAUAAAUGCUUGAAAUGCGCCCUCAUCCAGGUAGAAAUUUCCUGCUGACAUCACUUUACCAGCUAUAGCAAGAGGAAGAGUUCCUGAGCCAGGAAUCACCUGUGCCACAGCAGUGACAAUGCUGGGAUCCUUAACCCACUGAGCCACCUGGGGCCUCCUAAAGCAUGAUUUUAAAGUUGUCAUCAUAUCACAUCCUGUGGCUUCAUCAUUGUUCAUUCUUCUAUUCCCUCGGUAUGGGGCAACUAGUCUCCUUAUGAUUUUGCUACUGUAAAUAAUACUAUAACAUACUUUCCCCUCAUACAUCUGUGGCGUUUUAAUAGGGGACAUUUGAAGACUCCCAAGAAAUGUCUCUUUAACACAAAACUGCAGAAAUCGGUUACAGGAGGAGUUAUAAUUUUGAAGGAAAAAGACUUUUGCUUCACUUGCCUGCUAAAAAGGUGAACUACCUUUGUGUGUGGCUGAGGUCAGAGAUGGAUGAAGCAACUGCUAGGUGAUCACCGAGGUAGGAGGAAAGAGGGGUGAGAAAGCUGACCAGUCUUCAACUAGUAAAUGGAGAUCACAGGCUUCCUAUCUUCCACUUUCCACCUAUCAUUCCAAAACGGAAGUAAGGCUGGCCCCUCGUGUGUGUUCAUGUCCACUCUUCCCAUUGUCUGACUUGAGACACACACUGUAUAAACCCUCGAUGACAGGCUGCUAAAGGAAGAGCUAAACCCAUGAAUUAAGAGUUCCUCAAAGAGAGGUGUGGCUGAGGCAGAAGUGACAGCUUCAUCCCCUCCCAGCUUCCAUUGUUCCUGAGUACUCAGUAGAUGUACUUAGUACUUAGUAGAUGUACUUAGUACUUCAGAUGACUGCUGUUGGGCAAGUUCUUCCCAGUAGAAAUCUGCAGAAGGACCCUGCCUCCCCCUAGUGGAUGUUAGCGCGAGGUGAACAGGCGGAUUCUCCUGCAAGGUCCAGAAGCCAAGAAUCGUGUCCUUACAUGCCCUCCUGAGAUAAUGGAAGCUGUGUUUCUGGAGGAGACUCCUCCCACUCCAUAGAAGCUCUUGUCUUUCGCCAGCCAUCUGUGUCUACUGCUGCCACAAGACAAGACAUCAGGGGAUGUUUUCUCCUUCAGGGCACUAUCCCAGGCUCUUUUCUUUUUUAAAUUACUUCAGCAAUCUACUGGUUGUGCUUCUUUUUCACCAGUGUUAGAAACUUCUGUCCAGAUUCACUUUAUGCUGUGUCAUGAGGCGUUGCUAAUACAAACAGAGGCCAGAAGAAAGCAGCUGGGAGCCCGAGAAUAUUCAGAUAAAUUAUUGGAAAGUAUCAUAAAGUCACUUCCUUUUGCUUUCUUGUAAAUGUGAAAUUUUAGGAACAUUCAGAAAAACAGAAGAGAAUAUUUACAAGAGUUACCAGCAAAUCCUCUACUUAAGGCUACGUCCAAAGACUCUACGAUAUUAUUUCCGGAGCUUAGCCAGGCCCCUCAGAUAACCACGUUGCUAUUUUCAGAAUGAAGUGAGAAGCGUUCAUAAAUGAAUUGUCUAAACCCUUUAUUGAUCUCUUGACGAGCUUAUAAAGAAGUCUAGCUGUAGCCAGAGGAGGGGACUGGCUCCUGUAGAGAACUUCCUUCCUCCCUCCCUCCUUGCCUCCCACCUGCUUACCUACCUCCCACCUCCCUACCUAGCUCUCUACCAAACUAGCUAUUUGCUUCCCUCUCUUCCUUCCUGCCUACCUACCUACAGCAAACUGCUCGUGCUCGAAAGCUGGGUCUAGGUUUUCUUACUUGCAAAAUCAGAAGACUGAAUUCGAUGAGAUGUAAGCAGCUCUUCCAGUUAUAACUGGAAUGAAAAAACAGCACUGGGCCUCCUCUUAGAGAGGAAUCUACGAGAAGGUUCCUUCUCUCUGUCCACUAUCAUCAUGGUUUGCUCAUGAUCUAAGGUGAGUUCCAACAGCAAUGCAGGAACUAUUUCCUUUUUCUAAUUCUUCGCUCAAGUUCCCCUGGAUAGUCCAUCGCUUUUACAACCAGGGCAUCUGAGCAACUCAGCCAGUGCUUGCUGACCAACAGGCAGCCUUCUAGGACUCAGUGCAUCGUCACAGUGGCUGGAGAAAAAUGUCCCCUAUUUUAUGGGAAUCUUAAGACCAAGUCUGCUAUACUCAAAUUCUUUGCCUUUUAUUUAAAGUGAGAUCAGAGUGAACACUAUAGCUCUGACCUGUGCAAAUACAAUAAGCACUUCAGUCCAGAAACAGUUUUACCUCUUUUAUUAGGUUGGGUUUUCAGUUUGUGUUUGAAGAGGAGCUAUUUAUGUUCUUGCAAACAAAGUGCUGGAGGAAUGGAAUUUAAAGGAUGUCCUUGAACGAAUUCAGGGGGUUUUAUUUCAAGAGGCUAAUAAGCUGUGUAUUAACCCUUCAUCUUCUGGUGCAUAUCAUCUCCACAUUGCUCCCCUGAUGCCUGGGAGAGAUGAGUGGUCAGGCGGCCUUGAGAAAGUCACUCCCUCCGUGUGCUGGCUUGUGACUGGAAAAUGAGAGGGCUGAUGGUGACAGCCUGACCACAGGGAAGGAAAAGAAGUUCAAGAUGCACAAGUCUGCUGUGGGAGAGAUGGGGCCUACUGACAAAGACUCAGUUAUUUGGCUCAUUCGUGACUUGGUGUUUUCAGACCUUAGUCACAACUAUCCUGGUGAAAGAAUGCAUGAGCUUAAAAAAAAUAGAAGUAGCCUAUCACAGCUUCGGUGUGCCUGAUACAAAGUCAGAAGAGAGCUGCAGAUUUUAUCAUAAAAUCUGUCGGACAAAAGUGCAGUUAGCCAGGCGGGGUUAAUUGGAACGCUCGCAGACCACUCUCCUGCCUCUUUAGUGUAGACAGUGGGCCCCGGGAUUUCACCAAGUCACUUUGUUUUUAGCUUUCCCUCUACUAGCCAAAGCUUAGUCAUUUGACAUCUCUUACUUCUGGAUUAGAGAAAGUAAGAAAAAUAUUUUAUUUGGUCAUUUGGCUACCUUUUUAAAAGUCUGACAGGAGAGACAGUUGAAUCUGCUGUUAGAAAAGGGCAGAUUCCCAAAAUAUCUGCACAUGAUGUUAAUAGAGGCGACUCCAGAAAAAAGGUUUGUGCUCAAGUGAAUUUAGUUAGCAUUUCUCAGAGUGAACAAAGUAAUCCCUGUUCUUACUGGAACCUCAGCUGACCCUGCUGCUGUGUCAUCCCAUGACUGGUGACAGAAGGAAUGAGAGCCUCCUCGUGCCCCCUGGCACUUGGACUUGGUUGGAGUAAAGUGGCUGGUCAGUUGCGAGGGACUACAUGUCUCCUGGUGAAAUGACUGGAUGCCAGUGUUGCAAAAAUGGCUGCAUUCAGAGUUGCAGGCACCUCAUUAUGCAUUGUCCUCUGCAAUCUCUGCUGCUGCUGCCAGGUAGCACUGGACAAGAGAGCCCUGCCCUGGGCCCCAUGUUUAAGAAAACCCCUCUCUGGCUCACCUCCAAAGGGCCCUCCCCAAAGGGCAAGGAAGCUAUGCCUGCCCAGAGCCCAUGGCCCAACUUCUUUCUAGACCAGCGGCUUUCAGAAUGUGGUCUCCCAAACAGCAGCAUCACAUCAUCGAGGAAUUUGUUAGAAAUGCAGAUUCUUGGACCCCAGUCAGAACUACUCCACCAGAAACUCUGAAGGAUGGGACCAGCAAUCCGCAUCUGAGGAGCCUUCUUGGGGAUUCUGCCUGCUAAAAUUUGAAAGUUGCUGUUCUAAUCUAGGCCAGUCUCUGGGGUCUAACACCCAGAGAUUUCCUGCUCCAAUGGCUCUCCAGGGCUUGCACAGGCCUCUUCAUCAGGUUUGAGGAUAGAUGUGCCUCCAGUGGCCAAAAGCAGAUCUUGGAGGAAGCUGGGAGACUGAACUUGAAUCUGGUGGGCUGGGUUGUUCACGAGCAUACUUCAAGUGUCUAAGUCAUGUGAAAGGACAUUUUUCAAAGUAUGAGGUUAAAAUAUGCUUUAUUUAGCAGCCUGUUAAUUUGAUUUAUAAUGUUGAAAUAUUUAGUUAUGUGGUAGAUAGACUUUUUUUUUUUUUUUUUUUUUUUUUUUUUUUUUGGCUUUUUGCCUUUUCUAGGGGCCCUCCUGCAGCAUAUGGAGAUUCCCAGGCUAGGGGUCUAAUCGGAGCUGUAGCUGCUGGCUUACGCCAGAGCUACAGCAACGCGGGAUCUGAGCCUCGUCUGCAACCUACACCACAGCUCACGGCAAUGCCAGAUCCUCAACCCACUGAGCAAGGCCAGGCAUCGAACUUGCAACCUCAUGGUUCCUAGUCGGAUUCGUUAACCACUGUGCCACGACGGGAACUCCGGGGCCUCUAUUUUUUUACUCUUAUUCUAGACUCUGCAAAUGUUAGGGGUGGUCCUGCUGCUAAAAGUCUAUUCUUUCAUUUACUUGUUCAUUCAUUCAUUCAUUUACACAUGAACUUAUUUAAGGUCCAACUCUUCACUGAUGUUCUCUCUUUAAUGUGAUGUUAUCAUCAUACUUUUUUUUGCUUCUUUAGUCAGUUUCCUUCCCUUCACUGUUCAAAUUUAUAAAAGCUACUUUAAAGUCUUUUUCUGUUAAUUCUACUGUUUGCUCUUCCAGUCUGUUUCUGUUGCCUGCCCAGGAUCUGGGUCAAGACUUUCCUGCUUCUUUGUAUGUCUCAUAAUUUUUUUGUUGGAAACUGGACAUAUUGUAGCCACUCUCCUACUUCCUCACUCCCCUGCCCCAGGGAUUGUUAUUGUUAUUUGUCAGUUUAGAAUUUUUGUGAUUGGCUGGAUUGUUUUGAUGAACUUUCCUGCCCCCCCACUCCUUCCCCCACCCUCACAGGGCUCUGAUUUUGCUCCUUAGGGAAGCACAGCUUUGGGGGUGCCCAGGCAGCCUGAGAUGACUGGGUUGGGCAGAGCUUCUCCUUCCCUGACUGUGUCCAGCUGUGAGGCUCCACUACUGCUGGGUCACCUUAAGAGCAUGGGGAUAAGCCACCUGUGUACCUUCCUACUGCCCCAAAUAACUUGGAUUGCAAAUCACGGUGCCUGAAAACAUCUUUUUUAUGUCUUAAUGUCUUAAAGAUUCUUUUCUUCCUCCCAAGAACCCCAUAAUAAAAUGCAAAAAUGAA